RNAcentral lists this long non-coding RNA (244 nucleotides) under Populus tremula. RNAcentral's name for it is "long non-coding RNA (PTRE_LNC001323)". Lineage: Eukaryota; Viridiplantae; Streptophyta; Magnoliopsida; Malpighiales; Salicaceae. The record is from RNAcentral.
AGGAUUGGUUUGUGGGUCUAACUUGUCCAUCAACACAGAUUCGCCUCGUUCUCUGCUGAUAUGUAGGGCUAAACGUGUAGAGGCAGAGCUGUAAAUCAAAAUCGAAAGAGAGGUAAGUAGCUUUGUAUUCCUCAAGCUUCAUUUCCGUUGUUUGAAUCCACAUGCAGAAUGUUAGGGAGUUCUGGAAGAGCUUCAACAAAUCCCAGACAACACUAUUUUCUCGAAAACCCCCUUCAUCUCUUAG